UACGUAGGGUGCGAGCGUUGUCCGGAAUUAUUGGGCGUAAAGAGCUUGUAGGCGGUUUGUCGCGUCUGCUGUGAAAAUCCGGGGCUCAACCCCGGACUUGCAGUGGGUACGGGCAGACUAGAGUGUGGUAGGGGAGACUGGAAUUCCUGGUGUAGCGGUGAAAUGCGCAGAUAUCAGGAGGAACACCGAUGGCGAAGGCAGGUCUCUGGGC
Molecule: ribosomal RNA, 211 nt
Filed under: uncultured bacterium
Lineage: Bacteria
Description: partial 16S ribosomal RNA
Rfam family: Bacterial small subunit ribosomal RNA
Source: RNAcentral